Paramisgurnus dabryanus is the source of this 379-nucleotide non-coding RNA. NCBI's taxonomy places the organism in Eukaryota, Metazoa, Chordata, Actinopteri, Cypriniformes, Cobitidae. The record is from RefSeq and is a predicted model, not a curated record.
CUUCAAGAAGGAGAUGCUGCCUACAUGACCCUGUCAUUGACCUGCUCAAGGUUCAGGGACAUAGUUAGGGAUGACAAGUUUAAGAAUCAGGCACACUUCUUAUGGCUAGAAAGUGUUACAUGCUGGAAAAAUAAGUCGUCUCGCUACAAACAGCUCUUCUGGAAAAUGUACUCAAUCUCCACUUGUUUGGAGUGUGGGUUUGAGUACAAAUGCUGCACACCUGGUUAUGCUGGGAAGGGAAAGCGAGGUGAGCUCCAGGGAAUUUAUUCAGAAACCUUCCACCCUGGAUUUUGCAGUUUUGAAUGCUUGCAGAUCAGUUCUAAUGAGUUCUAAUGAGUUCCUCACAAGUAACCAAAAAUUCAAAAAAAAUAAAACAAAA